This 254-nucleotide ribosomal RNA is filed under the name uncultured bacterium. RNAcentral's name for it is "partial 16S ribosomal RNA". It matches the Rfam family "Bacterial small subunit ribosomal RNA", at positions 524 to 776 of the family's 1533-position model. The record is from RNAcentral.
UACGAAGGGUGCAAGCGUUACUCGGAAUUACUGGGCGUAAAGCGUGCGUAGGUGGUCUGUUAAGUCUGAUGUGAAAGCCCUGGGCUCAACCUGGGAAUUGCAUUGGAUACUGGCAGGCUAGAGUGCGGUAGAGGAUGGCGGAAUUCCCGGUGUAGCAGUGAAAUGCGUAGAGAUCGGGAGGAACAUCUGUGGCGGAAGGCGGCUCUCUGGGACGGUACUGACGCUGAGACGCGAAAGCGUGGGGAGCGAACAGG